Molecule: ribosomal RNA, 490 nt
Filed under: uncultured bacterium
Lineage: Bacteria
Description: partial 16S ribosomal RNA
Rfam family: Bacterial small subunit ribosomal RNA
Source: RNAcentral
AUUGAACGCUGGCGGCAUGCUUUACACAUGCGAGUCGAACGGCAGCGGGGUAGUGCUUGCACUACUGCCGGCGAGUGGCGGACGGGUGAGUAAUAUAUCGGAACGUACCGAGUAAUGGGGGAUAACCAAUCGAAAGAUUGGCUAAUACCGCAUACGUCCUGAGGGAGAAAGCGGGGGAUCGCAAGACCUCGCGUUAUUCGAGCGGCCGAUAUCUGAUUAGCUUGUUGGUGGGGUAAAGGCCUACCAAGGCGACGAUCAGUAGCGGGUCUGAGAGGAGGAUCGGCCACACUGGGACUGGGACACGGCCCAGACUCCUACGGGAGGCAGCAGAGGGGAAUUUUGGACAAUGGGGGCAACCCUGAUCCAGCCAGGCGGCGUGUAUGAAGAAGGCCUUCGGGUUGUAAAGUACUUUUGUUAGGGAAGAAAAGGGAAGUGCUAAUACCACUUUUUGCUGACGGUACCUAAAGAAUAAGCACCGGCUAACUACGUG